UAUUUGGGUUACCUUGUGUGAUGAGAUUCCCCACAAGAGCAGUUUUCUGACAGCAUCUGGUUCAUUUUCCCUUGCCCAUUGCAGACAGAAUCACCAAUGGAUAUGGAGGUGGACACAGAGCAGCCCGUCCUUCUGACACAACAGCGGCACCAGAACCUCUGCUGGUUCCCUCUGACUCUGGACAGGAGAAUGAAGAGGAAGAAGUGGAGAAGGAACCUGUGGCUGUUGGAGAAGUAAUGCCUGAAGGAAUGAAAGCUUUGCCUAAGGACAUGCCACCCGAGCUGGAGACUCCCAGAAAUCCACCACCUGUGUUCCAUUCCUACCUACAGUCUUGCCUGAACGGGCAUGUGAGGCCCCGAUGGCCUACCAGGCUGCUUCUGCAGGUAAAGUGGCUGCAGGUGAAACAGCUGUCCAGGGAUGGGCUUUGUCAUCAGCUAAACUCAGAGGCAUCAGGAGACCUCCUCUGCUACUAAUCUCCAGUCUCGGUGCUUUUCAAAUGACAACUAAGUAGCAUCCUAGAAUAAUUUGGCUUGGAAGGGACCUUUAAGUGGCAUCUAGUCCAACCCCCCUGCAACGAGCAGGGGCAUCUUCAACUAGAUCGGGUUGCUCAGAGCCUUUCCUCCAAGGAAAGGUCUUCCACCAUCUGGUCCUGUCUGUGGCCCUGGUUUGUACUUUGGGAGGACACUUGGUUGUACCUGGUGGCAAAAGACCCAGAGUAGAAUAAUAGCAGGUCCAGAGGCCUGAAAUGGUGUUGGUGGAGGGGGACCCAAGAAAGCAGUCCCAGCCAAGUGGUCGGAGAAUUGCCUGUGAGAAGGAAGGGGCUGUGUGGAGCUCACUGCUAGCCUCAGAGGGGGCCCAGCUUGUCCCUCCUGCCCCACUUUUUGAGGUUUCUGCCACCCAAGGAGGGACAGCUGAGCGGGCCUUGUCCCAGCCCCAUUUGCUGCCUGGCACAUUCAAGCAGGCCAGAAGUGCUCCAGGGUUCUGGCAGGU
Molecule: long non-coding RNA, 990 nt
Organism: Corapipo altera (White-ruffed manakin)
Lineage: Eukaryota; Metazoa; Chordata; Aves; Passeriformes; Pipridae
Exons: 3
Source: RefSeq, a predicted model, not a curated record